AACCACAUAAGCAGGUGAAACUUCUUAGAGGAACUGGCGCUCAAAAAGGCGCACGAGAAAGAGCAAUAACAGGUCUGUGAUGCCCUAAGAUGUCCGGGGCCGCACGCGUGCUACAAUGACGAUGCUACUGAGCAUGAUUAACUUGUCCGAAAGGAUCGGUGAAACUGUUCAAUCAUCGUCGUGACUGGGAUUGGGGUUUGCAAUUGUCCCCCAUGAACCAGGAAUUCCUAGUAAGCACAAGUCAUAAGCUUGUGCUGAUUACGUCCCUGCCCUUUGUACACACCGCCCGUCGCUACUACCGAUUGAAUGGUUUAGCAAGGACAUUGGAUCGAGCCUUUGCGGUUCACACUGCUUGGGUUUGAGAAGAUGUCCGAACUUGAUCAUUUAGAGGAAGUAAAAGUCGUAACAAGGUUUCCGUAGGUGAACCUGCGGAAGGAUCAUUAUCAAGUUUCCUAACUCAAACGCUUGGCGUCUAGUGUCUUGGUGAUCCUGUGCCUUGCUCUGUCUCUCGACAGCUUAGAACUGUAUUCUCCUAUGCGGCAAAGCCUUAAGGUUGGUCGUGAGGGUGCAUUCUCUAAUGCUGCUCUGUGGGGCAUUGCUCGCUGUACAGUGUUGCCUUGCUGCUUAGGCGUCAUGUGUUAGAUCCGGUCGAGGGACUAUGCCCUCAUGCUGGAUCGUUGUGGUACAGAAAUGUACGUUGUGGUGCUGGCUGUAACACUCUUACGGUCUGUCAUUCGCUUCGUACAUCAG
This 750-nucleotide ribosomal RNA is filed under the name Dactylogyrus sp. 2 AC-2012. RNAcentral describes it as "bacterial SSU rRNA". The stretch from base 1 to 443 matches the Rfam family "Eukaryotic small subunit ribosomal RNA", at positions 1387 to 1831 of the family's 1831-position model. Lineage: Eukaryota; Metazoa; Platyhelminthes; Monogenea; Dactylogyridea; Dactylogyridae. The record is from RNAcentral.